AAUGUUUGACGCCGUUGACUUUUUUAAACAUGUUUGACCGUUCGUCUUAUUCAAAAAAUUUAAGUAAUCAUUAAUUCUUUUUCUAUCAUUCGAUUAAUUGUUAAAUAUACUUUUAUGUAUAAUAUAGUUUUACAUAUUUCACAAAAUUUUUUGAAUAAGACGAAUGGUCAAACAUGUUUUAAAAAGUCAAUGGCGCCAAAUAUU
Molecule: microRNA precursor, 204 nt
Filed under: Oryza rufipogon (brownbeard rice)
Lineage: Eukaryota; Viridiplantae; Streptophyta; Magnoliopsida; Poales; Poaceae
Description: MIR812 microRNA precursor family
Rfam family: MIR812 microRNA precursor family
Source: Rfam by way of RNAcentral